UACAGAGGUCUCAAGCGUUGUUCGGAUUCAUUGGGCGUAAAGGGCGCGUAGGCGGCGCGGUAAGUCGGGUGUGAAAUCUCGGGGCUUAACUCUGAAACUGCAUUCGAUACUGCCGUGCUUGAGGACUGGAGAGGAGACUGGAAUUUACGGUGUAGCGGUGAAAUGCGUAGAUAUCGUGAGGAACACCAGUGGCGAAGGCGGGUCUCUGGACAGUUACUGACGCUGAGGCACGAAAGUCAGGGGAGCAAACGGG
This 253-nucleotide ribosomal RNA is filed under the name uncultured bacterium. RNAcentral's name for it is "partial 16S ribosomal RNA". It matches the Rfam family "Bacterial small subunit ribosomal RNA", at positions 524 to 776 of the family's 1533-position model. The record is from RNAcentral.